GGUGGGAUGGCCGAGUGGUUAUGGCGCCAAGUUCAGGUAGAAAUAUCUUGGUUCCGCGAGGAGCGUGGGUUCGAGUCCCACUCCCAUCA
Non-coding RNA from Cenococcum geophilum 1.58, 89 nucleotides. NCBI's taxonomy places the organism in Eukaryota, Fungi, Ascomycota, Dothideomycetes, Gloniales, Gloniaceae. The record is from the annotation of a GenBank genome assembly.